UUGCCUCUUGUGGGCAUAUAGUGGUUCAGUUCGAAACUGUCCCCUAAAACAUCUAAGGGGACGGUUAUCACGUAUUGCUAGUGAGUGUUAUUGUUACAUCUUAAAACUGUUCCUUAUUAGAUUAUAGGGAACAAUUAUACACUGUUGCGAAAACAAAACUGGCAACACGAGUCAAAUGUUGCCUGUCCAAGUUUUAGAUAACAGUUUACACAUGUUGUAUAAAAAAGUGUUGCCAGAUGCAACAAAUGUUGUAGUG
RNAcentral lists this long non-coding RNA (256 nucleotides) under Trifolium pratense (red clover). Its description in RNAcentral is "long non-coding RNA (TPRA_LNC000131)". The record is from RNAcentral. Lineage: Eukaryota; Viridiplantae; Streptophyta; Magnoliopsida; Fabales; Fabaceae.